GAAAGUGUAGCUCUGUGGAAGAGCACUUGCCUAGCAUGUAGGAAAUCUUGGGUUUGAUCCUCAGCACCUCCC
Molecule: transfer RNA, 72 nt
Filed under: Heterocephalus glaber (naked mole-rat)
Lineage: Eukaryota; Metazoa; Chordata; Mammalia; Rodentia; Bathyergidae
Rfam family: tRNA
About the family: Transfer RNA (tRNA) molecules are approximately 80 nucleotides in length.
Source: Rfam by way of RNAcentral